This 426-nucleotide ribosomal RNA is filed under the name uncultured bacterium. RNAcentral's name for it is "bacterial SSU rRNA". It matches the Rfam family "Bacterial small subunit ribosomal RNA", at positions 355 to 774 of the family's 1533-position model. The record is from RNAcentral.
UGGGGAAUAUUGGACAAUGGCGAAAGCCUGAUCCAGCCAUGCCGCGUGUGUGAAGAAGGUCUUCGGAUUGUAAAGCACUUUAAGUUGGGAGGAAGGGCAUUAACCGAAUACGUUGGUGUCUUGACGUUACCGACAGAAUAAGCAUCGGCUAACUCUGUGCCAGCAGUCGCGGUAAUACAGAGGGUGCAAGCGUUAAUCGGAAUUACUGGGCGUAAAGCGCGCGUAGGUGGUUCGUUAAGUUGGAUGUGAAAUCCCCGGGCUCAACCUGGGAACUGCAUCCAAAACUGGCAGGCUAGAGUAUGGUAGAGGGUAGUGGAAUUCCCUGUGUAGCGGUGAAAUGCGUAGAUAUAGGAAGGAACACCAGUGGCGAAGGCGACUACCUGGACUGAUACUGACACUGAGGUGCGAAAGCGUGGGGAGCAAACA